This 301-nucleotide ribosomal RNA is filed under the name uncultured bacterium. RNAcentral's name for it is "partial 16S ribosomal RNA". It matches the Rfam family "Archaeal small subunit ribosomal RNA", at positions 459 to 759 of the family's 1478-position model. The record is from RNAcentral.
CAGCCGCCGCGGGAAUACCAGCAGCCCAAGUGGUGGUCGCGUUUAUUGGGCCUAAAGCGCUCGUAGCCUGACCGGUAAGUUCCCCGUGAAAUCGGGUCGCCCAACGAUUCGGCUUGCGGGGAAUACUGUCGGUCUUGGGGCCGGGAGACGCCGAGGGUACUCCGGGGGUAGCGGUGAAAUGCUGUAAUCCUCGGGGGACUACCAGUGGCGAAGGCGCUCGGCGAUAACGGGCCUGACGGUGAGGGGCGAAAGCUGGGGGCGCGAACGGGAUUAGAUACCCGGGUAGUCCCUGUCUCUUAUA